Molecule: long non-coding RNA, 827 nt
Organism: Juglans microcarpa x Juglans regia
Lineage: Eukaryota; Viridiplantae; Streptophyta; Magnoliopsida; Fagales; Juglandaceae
Exons: 2
Source: RefSeq, a predicted model, not a curated record
UGCCACGUGUCACAAACCAUGCCACCUCAUCACCCUUAUUUUCUCGGUCCAUUCAGUGAAGUUAAAGCUGCUGCAAUACUCCACCAUUUGCAUGACAACUCAUCUUACUUUUGCAUGAAAACACCCUACACUAGUCAUUCAAUUAGCUGCAUAAGGGAGUGAGUUUUCACUUUGGCCGAUCCUGCUCCUCUUCAACUUCACUUUUCUUCUGCACCGCACUCAAACUCAUCUCUUGCUCUUCUGUUUUCUCUUCUUCCAUCACACAUAAUGACACACAUUUAGGAAGCCGCAACACAUCACAAUCUGUCCUUGCAAUAACCGAGAUAGAGAGUGACGGUGAGAGUUUAAUGAGAAAAUCGAGUUUAAUCCUCAAGACGACUUGUAGCUUGUCUGCCACGGGUGCCUUGGGGCUGGCCUUGAAGAGCUGCAAUUGGGUGUGGCCUUCAAGAAAUGCUAAAGGAUGGUUAGCUGUUGAAGAAGGAAUUCGCGAGGAAGGGAAGUAACUGAAAUAACGGAAUGAAAGCUUUGAUGAAACGAAGAGGUUUGGAGGCAAAGGCAUGGGUGUUGUUCGGCGUGCAAACCAGCUGCAUUUUAUGAGAAAGGAUUAGUGAAACGGGGUGUUUUGUGUAUUGUAAUCUUUGUAGUUGCGUUUUAAUUGUUGUUAUUUGCGUUUUGAUCUUUCCAUCACAGCCUGUGAGUAUAUAAGCAGUGCUGUGGAUGCUUAUCAUCUUGAACAUUGGAGAUACGGAGUUCUAGCUUUUGGAGGUUGAGAAUCCCUUGAAGAUUCUUUGCAAAUUUCAUAAUAGAAUCUUGCUCAUUCAGUCUCU